AUACAUACCUGGUAGGGGAGAUAACAUGAUCUGGAAAGUGAUUUUCCCACGGUGAGGCUUAUCCAUUGCACUCCAGAUGUGCUGACCCCUGAGAUUUCCCCAAAUGUGAGAAACUCAACUGCAUAAUUUGUGGUGGGAGGGGGGAUUGCAUUCGCACUCCCUCC
This 164-nucleotide small nuclear RNA is filed under the name Castor canadensis (American beaver). RNAcentral's name for it is "U1 spliceosomal RNA (ENSCCNG00000026390.1)". It matches the Rfam family "U1 spliceosomal RNA". From Rfam's summary of the family: U1 is a small nuclear RNA (snRNA) component of the spliceosome (involved in pre-mRNA splicing). Its 5' end forms complementary base pairs with the 5' splice junction, thus defining the 5' donor site of an intron. There are significant differences in sequence and secondary structure between metazoan and yeast U1 snRNAs, the latter being much longer (568 nucleotides as compared to 164 nucleotides in human). Lineage: Eukaryota; Metazoa; Chordata; Mammalia; Rodentia; Castoridae. The record is from Rfam by way of RNAcentral.